AAACCACGAUAAGGGAAUUGAGACCAAUAGCCCUUGAACCUCGCCCAUGCUUCACUGAAGCUCUCUAGACCUUUCUGUUGAAACCGGAGAUUUCUUUCCUGAUCUU
This is a non-coding RNA of Brassica napus (rape), 106 nucleotides long. The record is from Rfam. Lineage: Eukaryota; Viridiplantae; Streptophyta; Magnoliopsida; Brassicales; Brassicaceae.